Molecule: ribosomal RNA, 459 nt
Filed under: uncultured bacterium
Lineage: Bacteria
Description: partial 16S ribosomal RNA
Rfam family: Bacterial small subunit ribosomal RNA
Source: RNAcentral
CCUACGGGAGGCAGCAGUAGGGAAUAUUGCUCAAUGGGCGCGAGCCUGAACCAGCCAAGUCGCGUGAGGGAAGACGGUCCUAUGGAUUGUAACCCUCUUUUGUCGGGGAGCAAAAGACGCCACGCGUGGCGUUCCGAGAGUACCCGAAGAAAAAGCAUCGGCUAACUCCGUGCCAGCCGCCGCGGUAAUACGGAGGAGGCGAGCGUUAUCCGGAUUUAUUGGGUUUAAAGGGUGCGCAGGCGGAAGAUCAAGUCAGCGGUAAAAUUGAGAGGCUCAACCUCUUCGAGCCGUUGAAACUGGUUUUCUUGAGUGAGCGAGAAGUAUGCGGAAUGCGUGGUGUAGCGGUGAAAUGCAUAGAUAUCACGCAGAACUCCGAUUGCGAAGGCAGCAUACCGGCGCUCAACUGACGCUCAUGCACGAAAGUGUGGGUAUCGAACAGGAUUAGAUACCCUGGUAGUC